ACUAGGGAAAAACCUUAUAAAUGCAAGUAAUGUGGAAACCUCACCCAGCCUGGACACAGAAAGGAUUGACAGAUUGAUAGCUCUUUCUCAAUUCUGUGGGUGGUAGUGCAUGGCCAUUCUUAGUUGGUGGAGCAAUUUGUCUGGUUAAUUACAAUAAUGAAUGAGACUCUGGCAUGCUAACUACUUAUGCGAUCCCCAAGUGGUUGGCAUCUCAACUUCUUAGAGGGACAAAUGGCAUUCAGCCACCCAAGAUUGAGCAAUAACAAGUCUGUGAUACCCUUAAAUGUCCAGGGCUGCAUGUGCACUACACUGACUGGCUCAGUGUGUGCCUACCCUAUGCUGGCAGGCACAGGUAACCUGUUGAACCCCAUUCAUGAUGGGAAUCAGGGAUUGCAAUUAUUCCCCAUGAAUGAGGAAUUCCCAGUAAGUGCAGGUCAUAAGCUUAUUCUAAUUAAGUC
RNAcentral lists this non-coding RNA (458 nucleotides) under Monodelphis domestica (gray short-tailed opossum). Its description in RNAcentral is "Eukaryotic small subunit ribosomal RNA". It matches the Rfam family "Eukaryotic small subunit ribosomal RNA", at positions 1193 to 1651 of the family's 1831-position model. The record is from Rfam by way of RNAcentral. Lineage: Eukaryota; Metazoa; Chordata; Mammalia; Didelphimorphia; Didelphidae.